Long non-coding RNA from Cynocephalus volans (Philippine flying lemur), 299 nucleotides. RefSeq lists it as uncharacterized. Lineage: Eukaryota; Metazoa; Chordata; Mammalia; Dermoptera; Cynocephalidae. The record is from RefSeq and is a predicted model, not a curated record. The transcript is spliced from 3 exons.
UCCCGGACCUGGCGGCUGGAACCCGCUCGUCCCAACCGCCGCGCCCAGGAGAUUCUGCGUGCGCCCGCCGGCGCCCAGUGCGCAGGCGUCGGGCGCUCAGAGUGUCUGUAGGAGUUCGACUAGCAGACGAGCCCGUGUGCGAUUGUGUGAGACAGUGAAAGAAACGAUGGUCAAGUUAUUUCUUCCCUGAAUACUAAUUUGAUGGUCUGGAAAAGUUUUGGAGGCUGGCAAGCCCAAAGUCCAGGGAACACAUCUGGUGAGAGCCUUUGUUUUGCUGAUGACACUCCACAUCGACCCCA